Molecule: long non-coding RNA, 954 nt
Filed under: Brachypodium distachyon (stiff brome)
Lineage: Eukaryota; Viridiplantae; Streptophyta; Magnoliopsida; Poales; Poaceae
Description: long non-coding RNA (BDIS_LNC003895)
Source: RNAcentral
GCCUGUUCAAUAAAGACGAAUUGGAAAAGGAGUUUUUCCUCAACGCUAGAAGGAAAUUUCUUUGAAAUUGGAUUUGUAGUGGGAUUUUCUACCGAAGGUAAAAUUGCUUUUAAUUGAGAAUAAGAGAAAAUGCUUUUAAUUGAUCCAAGUGAGAUAUAUCAAAAGAGGAUAAUAAUCUUCCACUUUCCUCUGAAAAGGACAUUUUUAUUCUAUUAUUCCUAUUUGUCAAUAGAUAUAUGUUUAAAUGUUGGUAUGGCCCCACAACAAAGAAUCAUGCUAUAGAGUUUUUGCUUCACGGGAAAUAAACAUCUUACGGAGCCAGCAAAUGAAUAGAAGAUUCAUUAAGAGCCUAAUUUUCAUUUAAAAAACAAAAAAAACACAUUUUACUACUCCAAAUUCGUGCACUUUUGCCCUGCUUCUAUUCUCUUUUUCUUACGUUGUUCUCCUUUGGUUUCUCUUCCGGUUUAUGUCAGUUGCUUAACUCAAUGACGCUUGAUUGCUUGGUAUGUUGCAUCUGAACAAAUAAUUCCUUGCCUAUGAAGGUUCUUUGAUUUGUCUUAUUCCUUUCCAAAUCACUCAGGUGGCCAGCUGCCGAGCAUGCAGAGGUGUGUGUCAACCACAGUAUGCCUUUGAGGAGCAGAGUCCAAAAAAUAUAAAUAGUUAGUAAGAUUCCCAAAAAGAAAGAAAAUGGAGCUAAAUAGGUCAAAGUAACAUUUCCCAUCAUGUUGCAAUAUAAUAUGAAUUUAAAUUGUAAGCAAAGCUGCCCUGAUACGAUUAUUUUCAAGUAGUCGAAUCACCUCAUGAAUCCUCAAUUAGACCAGUUCUGGAUGUGGACUAACAUGUGUAGAAUCUGGGUGGUACCACAACGCCUUUCAUGUUUGACGUGGUCGAGAUUCUAAUUAAGUUCUUCUUGGUUCCAAAAUAAAUGCUUUUUCGGCGGCUAAACAAUUUAGG